Molecule: long non-coding RNA, 1337 nt
Filed under: Coffea arabica (coffee)
Lineage: Eukaryota; Viridiplantae; Streptophyta; Magnoliopsida; Gentianales; Rubiaceae
Description: long non-coding RNA (CARA_LNC002427)
Source: RNAcentral
AGGAAGAAGAUGACCCAUUUCAUUUUGAAUUUUUUUUUUUGCCCUCUAAAUACAAAACGACGUCGUUUCACUUUUAGUGGAACGACGUCGUUUUUGUAAGUGCCCGGUGCAACCCAAUGAGUACAAACAAAUUCACAAUGAUGCACAAAGAUAUAUCAAAUUUAAGCACAAUAAAGAAAACUUAAUUAAAGAGAAAUGAUAAGAAAUGCAAACCAAAUAUCAAACCAAUAGCCUCUUCAAUUGAUGGCGAUGCUAACCAAGAUGUACAAGUGAAGGCUCACUCCUUCCUCACCCCAAACACACUUUGGUUGAGCCAAGGAGUUUUACAACAAUUCUAGUUAACCCUCAACAACCUACACUUGAAAGAUCACUUACCCAAUUAAGAACUAUUUUAUACAAAUGAGGCAACCUUCACCAAGGUUUUACCACUUCAAGUGAUAGGUUCACCUUCACCAAGGUUUUACUCCUCCUAGAGAAUAACCUUCACUUGAGCAACCUCACAACCCAACUUCCCCAACCCCUUAUACAACCAACAAAGAAUCUUUCUACUCAAAAAUCUCACUUGUAAGCUUGUAUUUUGUGUUGGCAAAAGUCUUGUGUCUUCUUGUGCUUUGGGGUGUUUAUAGAAGGUGAGAAAUGGCUCCAAAAGGCUCUCCAACGGUCAAAUAUUAAAUGCUGUCAAAACUAGCCGUUGGCCUGUCGGACGUCCGAACCACCUGUCGGACGUCCGAACCCUGCGUCCAAACCACCUGUCGGACGUCCGAACCCUGCGUCCGAACGUCGUCAGAGAGUCAUCAAAUCUUUGCGAAAUUUCUCGGACGUCCGAUGCGAUCGAUGUGCGUCCGAUGCGUGCGUCCGAUCCUUCCGGACGUCCGAUGCUUCCUCACGAGCGUCCGACAGAGUUUCCUUCUUGAUGUUCUUCAUCCUUUCGGACGUCCGAUAGCUUCCUUUCGGACGUCCCACAUGAGUGCCCUGUUUUUGCUUCUUCUUUUGUGCCACAAGAAUCUGUUCUAACAAAUUGCUCACAUAAAAACAUUAGCCCAAAUCUACAUUUUGGUUUGUUAAUCAUCAAAACCAAGGAUUGAUCGACCAAGGUCAACAGUUUUGUAUAAUGAGGGGAAAAAAAAAUACAUCAGAUGAAGCCCUAAGGCUUCAUCUGAUGCAAAAGCACGCCGCCAGUGCCAAAGGGCAAACAAGACUCCAACUCCAAGAAGAAGACGCCAGGCUCCAAGAACUCCAAGAAGCUUCAGUUGAGAUUCUACCAUCCUGCUUCAAGCCUUCAAUUCAAGGCUCCAAGACUCCAACUCUCCACCAUUCCAUUCACAUAAAUCUUUUAG